Molecule: long non-coding RNA, 1380 nt
Organism: Seriola aureovittata
Lineage: Eukaryota; Metazoa; Chordata; Actinopteri; Carangiformes; Carangidae
Exons: 3
Source: RefSeq, a predicted model, not a curated record
AGUCCGUGUUGCAGACGCUAUCGUUACUUCCCUCGCGAACACUAGCUUUCGGUAGAACAAUGUCGAAGGUACGAGGGAAACACAGUAGUUGCUUUGUUGUUGGCUGCACAAACCAACACAGAAGUCUUUUUUUAACCCCUACGCCCGAGGAUCUGAAGACCCAGUGGAUUCAUUUUAUUUUUGAUGGAAAUGUACCCGCUCCAACUCCGAAAGUGUUGUACGUGUGUGCUAACCAUUUCACCUCGGACUGCUUUCUCAACGAGGGCCAGUACAAUGCAGGAUUUGCUACAAGUCUCAAGAUAAAGCUUGGAUCAGUACCGACUGUCUGUGACCCAACUUUGAACUUGGGAGCUGCCAGCAUAUCAAGUGCAUCUAUACAGCUUUCUGCAACAAGGGAUGUUGCAUGCCAGACUGACCCACUGUAGGCACACAGUUAUCCUUGAAGACUCUUCAGCCUCACAUCAGAAGCACAGACUCUACCUGGCUGCCACGUACUACAAUGAAAAUGCUGACCGACCACAAGCCCAAAUAAAAGUAGUUGAACCACUUUUCAAGGUCCAAUUUCCAAAGGCCAUGAAGGGAGAAUGCAGAGCUAAACCAGUUAAGACUGAGCCGACAUUCUAUAAGUGUUAUAUUAUUUUAUUUUUCAACCAAAAAAUGUUUUGUACACAUUGUAUUAAGUAUUGCACAUAUAAUGUUAUGACCGUUCCAUCAACAACAAAAUACAGUAAAGAAAAUGUCAGGAGGUAGUUAGAAACAGACUUUCAGUCAUUGUUUUGUAAAAAAAAAAAAAAAAAACAAAACGACAAAAAAGUGAAAAAUGUAACAAAAUCUUAUGUGUUUUAUUAAACAGGGAAUGUGGUGGACCUCAUAUUUGAAAAAGUCUUUGUUGACCUGGGACCAUACACAGAAGCUGCUUUGGCCAUCCCCAUCCCAGAGGACCUCACUGCACAGUUCGAGCGGCCUGAGAAGGAGGAGGUCAUAUCCAGCUCUGUGUCCCGGUUCUAUCAUGGGCCAGUCUAAAACCCACGUACUGGCAUGUGGCGUCAGGAAACACGGCAUGGAUGUGUAGGACCACGCAGGCUGGAAUGACGAACCAGAUUCUGCGACCAAGGAAGCCCCAGCACCAGCUCACAAAGCUCCUAUAGGCUAGAUACCUGUACUGACUAAAACAACUGGACAGGGCAUUUAGUCUUGCAAACAUAUAUCUAUGUUGUGUCUCAUUAUUUUUUAUAUGGAUCCAGUGAAUCCUACAGCUUUUUUACUAUCACUGAUUAUAAGUCCCUCAUUUGAUGUAAAUAAAUGCUUGAUUGUUACUAAAGAAAUGACUCCUCUGAAUUCAUAUAUUAUAUGCACACUAUCUGCUGAUAGAAGAACUUU